Molecule: non-coding RNA, 3103 nt
Organism: Peromyscus maniculatus bairdii (prairie deer mouse)
Lineage: Eukaryota; Metazoa; Chordata; Mammalia; Rodentia; Cricetidae
Source: RefSeq, a predicted model, not a curated record
GUAAGCAAUAUAAGUCUCUAUGUUUACUUGGUUGGGUCUGAGCAGCUGUGGGACUGGCGAGUGACAGAGAUUUGUCCUAACUGUGGGCAAGGCAGGAAAACUCUAGCUACAGCCAAGGAUGGUUUGAGUCCUGGUUUAAUUCAUCCCCAUGGUUAACUACCUUGAUUUCUACCCGGUUAAGACCCCUCCUCAUAUAAGUUUUUCUUCUCACCUUUGGGCCUUGCAUAUUGAACAAAUUAGUACAAUUUAUGAAAAAAGUCUAGGAGCUAUUCAAUUAAUGUUAAUGAGAUCCCAAUACUAACUGCUGUUAGCAGAAACCGGGGAGGCCUUGGUGGAGUUAUGGGACAUGACAGUCCCAUGAUUGGGACCCUCAGGGUCCAGUCAGAGGGGGGAAUAUGAAGGCAAUAUGAAAGCCUAGACUUGACUUUACAGACUCCAUCUUAGGGAAGGAACACCAUCUUAAAUCUCCUGGUGACUGGAGGCUGUACUCAGUUCCAGGAAGAAUCUCAGGAAUGUGCCGUAACUACUCGAACAGAUACCCUAGAAGCAGCCAAUUAAGAAAUAGGGUAGUAAAGUUUAACAAGAUCCAGACAUUCCUGCAGAUAUCCUGUCUGUGAUUUAUGGCCCUUGCAGAUAUCCAGAUAAUCUUAUCAGCGGGUUACAUUUCCACACCAAAAGUCUAACCCAAUAGUUUCAAAAAAUCACCUUGCCCCAUAUCCCUUUUACUCAAUCUCAAAAUGCCAAGGAAUGUAAUUCCCAGCUUGUGGAUUUUUUUUCCCUUUAGAAACCCUCCUACCCCUGAGCCCCUGGCCACUACUGCAUUUCCCUCCAUCUGCUUAGUUGGAGCAUAGGGUGGUGGUCCAGGUUCAUACCUGAAAAUAAAAAGACCCUUGUGUGCUUGCAUGGGAAACUGGCUCCUUGGUAGUCUCUGGGUGAUUUGAGACAUGGAUACAACAGGAAAGUGUUAAGUUAGGGUUGACAUUAUGAUUAUGUUUCCACAGGAGAUAAUAAAUUGUGGAUCCCAUCAAACUUGAUAAAAAUUCACAUGAGCAAGUGACAUCUCCAAGAUACUUCAGAAGCAGAGAUAUCUCUGUCAAACUUGAUGCACAGGAGACUUUUGGUGCAAACAACUAAUCCUCUCAGCCGGGGACAGCUUAUGAAUUUGUGUGACAAAGGAGUGACAAUACUUCACAUGAUUCACAAGCCUCUAAAUGCUACAAACUUAUUUCUUGCCAUGCUCUCCAUGGUAAUAGUGCAGAGCAAGACCAGCAAUCUGGAUACUAGUGGAGUUGUCAAGGCCAUGGCAAGUCUCUCCUGUGAUGAUCCUGGUACAGAAGUGUUAGAAUUCUGCCCUCACUCCUGCUGCAUGACGGCACAUGCACAGUUCAGGAGUUAAGCAAAGGGUCUUGCAUCUUACAUCACCAGUGUGUACUGGUGACUACGUGAGUGGUCACUCAAUUAGUGCAUGCAUGGUGUAGCUCUGUAGGCCCCCCUGUGCCUUAAAAAGCCAUGACUCAGACCCCACCAUCUCUCUCUCUCUCUCUCUCUCUCUCUCUCUCUCUGUUCUGUUCCCUCUUCCCUCCACCAUCUUUCUCUCUCUCUUUCUCUCUCCUUUCUCAUGCCUGGUUCUUUUGCCCCCCCCCCCCCCCGCUUCCUCCUAAUAAAGCUCUGCUACUAAGUAGUCAUGGCCAUGGCGUGACCUUCUUGCACAGUAACCAGUGCCGUUUAUCUCAUUCAUUUCAGAAAGAAUAUUAAAGAACAUGUUGAAUGGUUGGACUGGUUGUUGGAAUUAUUAUGGGAAUCAUUGCAUUGAUAGCUACAGCAGCAUCAGCUGGAGUGCCACUUCAUAAAGAAAUCCAAAGCACUGAAUUCAUUAGAGACUGGGGUAAACAUUCAGAAGAACUUCAGACUGAAACAAAAUAAGACUGAUAAUGAGAUAGUAAAUGAAUUAGCUGGGUUAAGGCAAGCUGUUGUUUUGUUAGGUGAUCAGUUAGAAAUUUUGAAGGAGCAGAUAAAAUUAAAAUGUGAUUGGAAUGUUUCUUAUUGUAUCACACACUUAAGAUUAAAUGGAAGCUAGUAUGAUUGGGAUAAGGUUAAGAUGUAUUUGUUGGGUCACCCUAAUUCUUCUCUAAUGGUUUGUGAUUUACAGAAAGAAAUUAAAGAAACUUGCAAAAAAAGUUUCAUGAUACAAUAAAUGGACACUAUGGAAAGUGUAGCAGAUACCAAUGCCUCAUUCAAUCCUAUGAAUCGCUUUAAUAGAUUUCUUAUCCUAGCAGGUGUUGCUCUUAUUCUAACAAUAGUAACUUUAUUGGCCUUAAUGUGUGUUUUGGUCUACUUAUGUGAGGUUGUAAGACAACUAGUUUAAAAAAUGUCUGUAUUUACUUUGAGGCUAUAUAGCCUCCCAAAUAAUUUUUAUAAAGAAAGGAGAAUCUGUGGUAGCGUUCCUGCUGGGCUAUACCUGACCUGACUCCAGAGAGUUAGCACCUACCUCUAAUUCAUAUUUUUGUUCUCUUGUUGCCCUCUAUGUGAAUCUUGUCUGAGAGUCUUGCCUAAGCAAAAACUUGGUUCAGGAAAGCCGGAAAACUGGUACCUGAUGAACUGAGAAAUUUGCACUUGGCAUUGUAUUGUUGUGAGCUUCUUUCAGGUUGUUUUGAACAUAUGGAAAUCAACUGGCUAAAGUGUAAGUAUUGAGAAAAAUAAAAAUGCCCUGGGUGAAGGGAAAGUGCUUCAGUCCUGAGAGGCUGGAUCCCCCUGCAGCUGUGAAAGGCUAGAUUCAUUCUUAAGGUCUCUGAGUUUUCAUUCAGUGGUCCAGUCUCAUGUGAACCCAUACAACUUUGUCCCAACACAGACUCAUGAAGUUUAGGCCGACCUUGAACUCAUAACCUUUCUGCUUCCACCUCCAAUUACUGGGAUGACAGCUUUCACUACCAUGCUCUGUUUAUGCAGAGGCCUUGUGUGUGCUAAGAAGGCAUUAUAUCCAAUGAAUGCUAUCUGAUAUGAAAACAUUGAUGUAGCUGAGUUGUUCAUAUGCAGGUCUACACUGAGACCUUGUCCCAAAAACAAACAAAAAGUGCAGAUAAAUAAAAAAAAUCAUUAGAAGAAA